This 253-nucleotide ribosomal RNA is filed under the name uncultured bacterium. Its description in RNAcentral is "partial 16S ribosomal RNA". It matches the Rfam family "Bacterial small subunit ribosomal RNA", at positions 524 to 776 of the family's 1533-position model. The record is from RNAcentral.
UACGGAAGGGGCAAGCGUUGUUCGGAAUCAUUGGGCGUAAAGAGCGUGUAGGCGGCCUGACAAGUCUGCUGUGAAAACUCGAGGCUCAACCUCGAGAUGUCGGCGGAAACUGUCUGGCUAGAGUCCGGAAGAGGAGAGUGGAAUUCCUGGUGUAGCGGUGAAAUGCGCAGAUAUCAGGAAGAACACCUAUGGCGAAGGCAGCUCUCUGGGACGGUACUGACGCUGAGACACGAAAGCGUGGGGAGCAAACAGG